RNAcentral lists this microRNA precursor (125 nucleotides) under Hordeum vulgare. RNAcentral's name for it is "microRNA MIR1122". It matches the Rfam family "MIR1120/MIR1122 microRNA precursor family". The record is from RNAcentral. Lineage: Eukaryota; Viridiplantae; Streptophyta; Magnoliopsida; Poales; Poaceae.
CUCAUACUCUCUCCAUCCACAAAUACUUGUCAUAAAAAUAGAUAUAUCUAGAUGUAUUUUUAUUUUAGAUACAUCUAUUUUUAUUCAUUUAUGUGACAAAUAAUUUUGGAUAGAGGGAGCAAUAA